This is a long non-coding RNA of Diorhabda carinulata, 528 nucleotides long. RefSeq lists it as uncharacterized. The record is from RefSeq and is a predicted model, not a curated record. The transcript is spliced from 2 exons. NCBI's taxonomy places the organism in Eukaryota, Metazoa, Arthropoda, Insecta, Coleoptera, Chrysomelidae.
UACUUAACCAAGUUUACCGAAUGUUUUUGUAAUAAAAUUUCUUAAUUUUGAUAUACGUAAUGAACGAAUACGGUUCUAGAUUAUUACCGCCUGCUAAAGAAACUAGUACUAGCGAUGGGUGUGAAAAAUGUUGCUACGCUGGCUGGUCAUUUAACAUAUUAGUGUCGAAAUUUUAUCAAACUAGACCCAAAUAAGGAAAUAGUUUUGGAGAUCUUAAAGAGCAGGAAUUGAAGGAGAAAUUGAAAAAUACUAAAAAGAAACACAAGAAAAAAUUACACAUUGAGUGACGACGGGGAGGAGGAGGAGGAAGAGGAAGAUGUUUCUAGUAGCAGCGAUGUUGACAAUCUAAUAGUGAUUAGAUAAAUUGUGAUUGUUUUAAAUAUAUUUUUUUACGAUAAACGUAAUUUUAAUAAUAGCGAAUUGACUAAAAUCUGUUCGAUGUUUAAAAUAGAUAAUUUUUUCAUAUUUCCAUCCACAGUUGUCUUCAUAUGUUAUUAGAUGUGCUAAAUAAAGAUGUAUUUUUAGAUA